GAGGAUGUCAACUAUAGUCUCACCAUGAUU
Molecule: non-coding RNA, 30 nt
Filed under: Rattus norvegicus (Norway rat)
Lineage: Eukaryota; Metazoa; Chordata; Mammalia; Rodentia; Muridae
Source: RNAcentral